UCAGUCACUAUCCUAUUUACCCUCACCUAACCAGACAACUUCCCUCACUUUUCCACCAAUCAGAAAAAUUUGUCUCUUUUUCUCUCUCCCUUACUUGUAACUCUCUCCUUUCUGUAAUACCAAGGAUCAUCAUCAAACUUUAUAGAUCAAGCCUAAAAUUAUCACCAUCAAGAUCCUCUCAUCCUCACAAACCCAUUCAUACCAACUGAUCACGAAAUGGACAAGUUUUGAGUGUCCAACUUGGAGCUCUGACUCGGGCGUGGAUUCUUCGACGUUUUCCUGUGCAAGUUACAACGUUUUGGGAGUUUUGGAAGCACCUACGCAACUCCCCGUGGCCACUAGACUAGGGUUGAAGUGGAGCCGAUGUGAAAACACACAAUUUUGAGAUGACGAGUUUGGGUCCGGGGCUAUCAAGUCUAUUUUGAUCCAUUUUCGUCCACCUUUUGGAAUUUUAAGAGAAAUCGAUGAAUUUUUCCAGAUUCCGACGAACUAGACGGUGGCAAACAGCAGAGGUCAACCGGAGAAGAAGGAGAAUAUUUCGUUAAAGUUAACCGAAUAUUUUGACGCCGUUAGGUGAGAAUUACCCCGAGGACAACCAAGGCUAGGAGGCUACGAUCCAUGACGUAUUAGUGAGUGGACAUUUGUUUUCGUGUGUGUGUGUGUGUGUAUAUAUAUAUAGAAACUUUAUAGUUUCCACAUAUGCUUUGGAUUGAUUUUACACCUAACUUGCCAUGUUUUAUUUAAUCUUUAAAAUGCCAUUAUUUAGUGAGAUUUAUAUAUAUUCAUGGCAUGCUCAUAUGCAUUAUACUUGCUCAUCAUCAUGCAUGCUUGCAUCGGUGUAGUACUCGCCCCUGCCAUGGCCAGACUUCACGUUUAUGUUCACAUCGCACUGCACACUCACCUUGGAUCCAUUGUAGGUGCCAGUCAUGUCGUACAAGUUGCCUUAGGCAACUCCGACUCAUAUGUGAUGCACUUAGCGCCAGUUUUCACAUGAUUGUAGUACUAAAACGUAUAUUAUGAUUACACCCAGUCCUGUUCAUGUUAGAUUUCCUCUACAUAAACUCGUGUGUUAACAUAGAUUGAUGAGCACCUGAUUUUAUUAUGCUACUGUUAGAUAUUGUGAUUUGGCGUAUUUAUGGAUUUAUUGUUGAUUUACAUUUGAUCUCAUACUUAUAUGUAGUAUGAUUUUCUAGAAACUAUACAUGUUUUACGGUUAGGGGUUAGUAUGUUUAGAAAAUAAAUGUGUUUUAUAAACCUUUGUUUUUUCCCACUCACCCUUCUAUUUUUCACUACUCCAGGACCUAGAUAGCUGAAUUCUCUAUGGCAUUACGAGGAUUCUGCGACGGUUCUGACAUCUCCAUAAAUAAUGUAGAAGUUUUUUCCUGCCGUGUAUUAAGUAUUUUGAUUAGAUUCGACUGCACUACUUAUGUCAUAUAUGCUCCAAACAUUUGUGUUUAUGGGUUCUUCCCAUUAUUGCGCACUCUCUACUUUAGAUUAAAUAAAUAUUAGCUUUGGUUUAAA
Molecule: long non-coding RNA, 1521 nt
Organism: Pyrus x bretschneideri (Chinese white pear)
Lineage: Eukaryota; Viridiplantae; Streptophyta; Magnoliopsida; Rosales; Rosaceae
Exons: 3
Source: RefSeq, a predicted model, not a curated record